Molecule: small nucleolar RNA, 77 nt
Organism: Lepidothrix coronata (blue-crowned manakin)
Lineage: Eukaryota; Metazoa; Chordata; Aves; Passeriformes; Pipridae
Source: Ensembl
UCUCUGUGAUGAUCAAGCUUUUGAGCCGCUGUGUCUGGGCCACUGAUGGUCCGUGAUGGAGCUGAGGAUCUGAGCGG